RNAcentral lists this long non-coding RNA (4913 nucleotides) under Citrus x clementina. RNAcentral describes it as "Citrus clementina (C. clementina) long non-coding RNA (CCLE_LNC004928)". The record is from RNAcentral. Lineage: Eukaryota; Viridiplantae; Streptophyta; Magnoliopsida; Sapindales; Rutaceae.
CGUCCGCCGGACUCGGAAUGGGGCGAGACUUUGCGAGGGGCCUCGGGGUGCCCGCGGGAAGUCGCGGGCACAGCCGUGCCCAAAAAUAAGCGCCCGAAGGUCGUGGUGCCAAAACCCCCCAGCGGAAAAAUGGCCAAAAAACGGGUGGGCUAUAGCCUUGGUGGGGGGCGUGGGCGAAGUUCGUCCGCCGGACUUGGAAUGGGGCGAGACUUUGCGAGGGGCCUCGGGGUGCCCGCGGGAAGUCGCGGGCACAGCCGCGUCCAGAAAUAAGCGCCCGAAGGUCGUGGUGCCAAAACCCCCUAGCGGAAAAAUGGCCAAAAAACGGGUGGGCUAUAGCCUUGGUGGGGGGCGCGGGCGAAGUUCGUCCGCCGGACUCGGAAUGGGGCGAGACUUUGCGCGGGGCCUCGGGGCGCCAAAAAUAAGCCGCGGGCAAAGCCGCGUCCAAAAAUAAGCGCCCGAAGGUCGUGGUGCCAAAACCCCCCAGCGGAAAAAUGGCCAAAAAACGGGUGGGCUAUAGCCUUGGUGGGGGGCGCGGGCGAAGUUCGUCCGCCGGACUCGGAAUGGGGCGAGACUUUGCGAGGGGCCUCGGGGCACCAAAAAUAAGCCGCGGGCAAAGCCGCACCCAAAAAUAAGCGCCCGAAGGUCGUGGUGCCAAAAACCCCCUGCGGAAAAAUGGCCAAAAAACGGGUGGGCUAUAGCCUUGGUGGCGUGCGCGGGCGAAGUUCGUCCGCCGGACUCGGAAUGGGGCGAGACUUUGCGAGGGGCCUCGGGGUGCCAAUAAUAAGCCGCGGGCAAGGCCGCGCCCAAAAAUAAGCGCCCGAAGGUCGUGGUGCCAAAACCCCCCAGCGGAAAAAUGGCCAAAAAACGGGUGGGCUAUAGCCUUGGUGGGGGGCGCGGGCGAAGUUCGUCCGCCGGACUUGGAAUGGGGCGAGACUUUGCGAGGGGCCUCGGGGUACCCGCGGGAAGUCGCGGGCACAGCCGCGUCCAGAAAUAAGCGCCCGAAGGUCGUGGUGCCAAAACCCCCCAGCGGAAAAAUGGCCAAAAAACGGGUGGCCUAUAGCCUUGGUGGGGGGCGCGGGCGAAGUUCGUCCGCCGGACUUGGAAUGGGGCGAGACUUUGCGAGGGGCCUCGGGGUACCCGCGGGAAGUCGCGGGCACAGCCGCGUCCAGAAAUAAGCGCCCGAAGGUCGUGGUGCCAAAACCCCCCAGCGGAAAAAUGGCCAAAAAACGGGUGGCCUAUAGCCUUGGUGGGGGGCGCGGGCGAAGUUCGUCCGCCGGACUCGGAAUGGGGCGAGACUUUGCGCGGGGCCUCGGGGCGCCAAAAAUAAGCCGCGGGCAAAGCCGCGCCCAAAAAUAAGCGCCCGAAGGUCGUGGUGCCAAAACCCCCCAGCGGAAAAAUGGCCAAAAAACGGGUGGGCUAUAGCCUUGGUGGGGGGCGCGGGCGAAGUUCGUCCGCCGGAUUCGGAAUGGGGCGAGACUUUGCGAGGGGCCUCGGGGCACCAAAAAUAAGCCGCGGUCAAAGCCGCACCCAAAAAUAAGCGCCCGAAGGUCGUGGUGCCAAAAACCCCCUGCGGAAAAAUGGCCAAAAAACGGGUGGGCUAUAGCCUUGGUGGCGGGCGCGGGCGAAGUUCGUCCGCCGGACUCGGAAAUGGGCGAGACUUUGCGAGGGGCCUCGGGGUGCCAAAAUAAGCCGCGGGCAAGGCCGCGCCCAAAAUAAGCGCCCGAAAGUCGUGGUGCCCAAACCCCCAGCGGAAAAAUGGCCAAAUAUGGGUGGGCUAUAGCCUUGGUGGGGGGCGCGGGCGAAGUUCGUCCGCCGGACUCGGAAUGGGGCGAGACUUUGCGCGGGGUCUCGGGGCGCCAAAAAUAAGCCGCGGGCAAAGCCGCACCCAAAAGUAAGCGCCCGAAGGUCGUGGUGCCAAAACCCCCCAGCGGAAAAAUGGCCAAAAAACGGGUGGGCUAUAGCCUUGGUGGGGGGCGCGGGCGAAGUUCGUCCGCCGGACUCAAGGUAUGUUCGCACGCGAGACUUUGCGAGGAGCCUCGGGGCACCAAAAAUAAGCCGCGGGCAAAGCCGCGCCCAAAAAUAAGCGCCCGAAGGUCGUGGUGCCAAAAACCCCCUGCGGAAAAAUGGCCAAAAAACGGGUGGGCUAUAGCCUUGGUGGGGGGCGCGGGCGAAGUUCGUCUGCCGGACUCGGAAUGGGGCGAGACUUUGCGAGGGGCCUCGGGGUGCCAAAAAUAAGCCGCGGGCAAGGCCGUGCCCAAAAAUAAGCGCCCGAAGGUCGUGGUGCCAAAACCCCCCAGCGGAAAAAUGGCCAAAAAACGGGUGGGCUAUACCCUUGGUGGGGGGCGCGGGCGAAGUUCGUCCGCCGGACUCGGAAUGGGGCGAGACUUUGCGCGCGGCCUCGGAGCGACAAAAAUAAGCCGCGGGCAAAGCCGCGCCCAAAAAUAAGCGCCCGAAGGUCGUGGUGCCAAAACCCCCCAGCGGAAAAAUGGCCAAAAAACGGGUGGGCUAUAGCCUUGGUGGGGGGCGCGGGCGAAGUUCGUCCGCCGGACUCGGAAUGGGGCGAGACUUUGCGCGGGGCCUCGGGGCGCCAAAAAUAAGCCGCGGGCAAAGCCGCGCCCAAAAAUAAGCGCCCGAAGGUCGUGGUGCCAAAACCCCCCAGCGGAAAAAUGGCCAAAAAACGGGUGGGCUAUAGCCUUGGUGGGGGGCGCGGGCGAAGUUCGUCCGCCGGAUUCGGAAUGGGGCGAGACUUUGCGAGGGGCCUCGGGGCACCAAAAAUAAGCUGCGGGCAAAGCCGCACCCAAAAAUAAGCGCCCGAAGGUCGUGGUGCCAAAACCCCCCAGCGGAAAAAUGGCCAAAAAACGGGUGGGCUAUAGCCUUGGUGGGGGGCGCGGGCGAAGUUCGUCCGCCGGAUUCGGAAUGGGGCGAGACUUUGCGAGGGGCCUCGGGGCACCAAAAAUAAGCCGCGGGCAAAGCCGCACCCAAAAAUAAGCGCCCGAAGGUCGUGGUGCCAAAAACCCCCUGCGGAAAAAUGGCCAAAAAACGGGUGGGCUAUAGCCUUGGUGGGGGGCGCGGGCGAAGUUCGUCUGCCGGACUCGGAAUGGGGCGAGACUUUGCGAGGGGCCUCGGGGAGCCAAAAAUAAGCCGCGGGCAAGGCCGCGCCCAAAAAUAAGCGCCCGAAGGUCGUGGUGCCAAAACCCCCCAGCGGAAAAAUUGCCAAAAAACGGGUGGGCUAUAGCCUUGGUGGGGGGCGCGGGCGAAGUUCGUCCGCCGGACUCGGAAUGGGGCGAGACUUUGCGAGGGGCCUCGGGGUGCCCGCGGGAAGUCGCGGGCACAGCCGCGCCCAAAAAUAAGCGCCCGAAGGUCGUGGUGCCAAAACCCCCCAGCGGAAAAAUGGCCAAAAAACGGGUGGGCUAUAGCCCUGGUGGGGGGCGCGGGCGAUGUUCGUCCGCCGGACUCGGAAUGGGGCGAGACUUUGCGAGGGGCCUCGGGGCACCAAAAAUAAGCCGCGGGCAAAGCCGUGCCCAAAAAUAAGCACCCGAAGGUCGUGGUCCCAAAACCCCCCAGCGGAAAAAUGGCCAAAAAACGGGUGGGCUAUAGCCUUGGUUGGGGGCGCGGGUGAAGUUCGUCCGCCGGACUCGGAAUGGGGCGAGACUUUGCUCGGGGCCUCGGGGCACCAAAAAUAAACCGCGGGCAAAGCCGCGCCCAAAAAUAAGCGCCCGAAGGUCGUGGUGCCAAAACCCCCCAGCGGAAAAAUGGCCAAAAAACGGGUGGGCUAUAGCCUUGGUGGGGGGCGCGGGCGAAGUUCGUCCGCCGGACUCGGAAUGGGGCGAGACUUUGCGAGGGGCCUCGGGGCACCAAAAAUAAGCCGCGGGCAAAGCCGUGCCCAAAAAUAAGCGCCCGAAGGUCGUGGUCCCAAAACCCCCCAGCGGAAAAAUGGCCAAAAAACGGGUGGGCUAUAGCCUUGGUGGGGGGCGCGGGUGAAGUUCGUCCGCCGGACUCGGAAUGGGGCGAGACUUUGCUCGGGGCCUCGGGGCACCAAAAAUAAACCGCGGGCAAAGCCGCGCCCAAAAAUAAGCGCCCGAAGGUCGUGGUGCCAAAACCCCCCAGCGGAAAAAUGGCCAAAAAACGGGUGGGCUAUAGCCUUGGUGGGGGGCGCGGGCGAAGUUCGUCCGCCGGACUCGGAAUGGGGCGAGACUUUGCGAGGGGCCUCGGGGCACCAAAAAUAAGCCGCGGGCAAAGCCGUGCCCAAAAAUAAGCGCCCGAAGGUCGUGGUCCCAAAACCCCCCAGCGGAAAAAUGGCCAAAAAACGGGUAGGCUAUAGCCUUGGUGGGGGGCGCGGGUGAAGUUCGUCCGCCGGACUCGGAAUGGGGCGAGACUUUGCUCGGGGCCUCGGGGCGCCAAAAAUAAGCCGCGGGCAAAGCCGCGCCCAAAAAUAAGCGCCCGAAGGUCGUGGUACCAAAACCCCCCAGCAGAAAAAUGGCCAAAAAACGGGUGGGCUAUAGCCUUGGUGGGGGGCGCGGGCGAAGUUCGUCCGCCGGACUCGGAAUGGGGCGAGACUUUGCGAGGGGCCUCGGGGUGCCCGCGGGAAGUCGCGGGCACAGCCGCGUCCAAAAAUAAGCGCCCGAAGGUCGUGGUGCCAAAACCCCCCAGCGGAAAAAUGGCCAAAAAACGGGUGGGCUAUAGCCUUGGUGGGGGGCGCGGGCGAAGUUCGUCCGCCGGACUCGGAAUGGGGUGAGACUUUGCGAGGGGCCUCGGGGUGCCAAAAAUAAGCCGCGGGCAAGGCCGCGCCCAAAAAUAAGCGCCCGAAGGUCGUGGUGCCAAAACCCCCCAGCGGAAAAAUGGCCAAAAAACGGGUGGGCUAUAGCCUUGGUGGGGGGCGCGGGCGAAGUUCGUCCGCCGGACUCGGAAUGGCU